This 350-nucleotide ribosomal RNA is filed under the name uncultured Leuconostoc sp. RNAcentral describes it as "bacterial SSU rRNA". It matches the Rfam family "Bacterial small subunit ribosomal RNA", at positions 1037 to 1388 of the family's 1533-position model. The record is from RNAcentral. Lineage: Bacteria; Bacillati; Bacillota; Bacilli; Lactobacillales; Lactobacillaceae.
GGUGGUGCAUGGUCGUCGUCAGCUCGUGUCGUGAGAUGUUGGGUUAAGUCCCGCAACGAGCGCAACCCUUAUUGUUAGUUGCCAGCAUUCAGUUGGGCACUCUAGCGAGACUGCCGGUGACAAACCGGAGGAAGGCGGGGACGACGUCAGAUCAUCAUGCCCCUUAUGACCUGGGCUACACACGUGCUACAAUGGCGUAUACAACGAGUUGCCAACCCGCGAGGGUGAGCUAAUCUCUUAAAGUACGUCUCAGUUCGGACUGCAGUCUGCAACUCGACUGCACGAAGUCGGAAUCGCUAGUAAUCGCGGAUCAGCACGCCGCGGUGAAUACGUUCCCGGGUCUUGUACAC